UACGUAGGGGGCAAGCGUUGUCCGGAUUUACUGGGCGUAAAGGGCGAGUAGGUGGCUAUAUAACUCCUUUGUGAAAUCUCCCGGCUUAACCGGGAGGGUGCGAAGGAAAGUGUAUGACUAGAGGGACGUAGAGGAGAACGGAAUUCCCGGUGUAGCGGUGACAUGCGUAGAUAUCGGGAGGAACACCAGUGGCGAAGGCGGUUCUCUAGACGUUUCCUGACACUGAGGCGCGAAAGCGUGGGUAGCAAAC
Molecule: ribosomal RNA, 250 nt
Filed under: uncultured bacterium
Lineage: Bacteria
Description: partial 16S ribosomal RNA
Rfam family: Bacterial small subunit ribosomal RNA
Source: RNAcentral